ACUAGGAUUAGAUACCCUAUUAUAUUUAAAUAAUUAUAGGUAGUACCAAAUUCUCAAGGAAACCUAUGCAGUUUGGCGGCAUUUAAUCACUUUAGAGGAACCUGUCUUUUAAUCGAUACCCCGCGAUACCCCCUACUUUUAUUAAUAUCCUAUAUACCGCCAUCUCAAGGGUUAAUACCUACAUUUUACCCUAAAUAGAUUUCUAAAAAGUUAGGUAAAGGUGUAGACUAUAUAAAAGAUAACAUGGGUUACUAUAAAACACAUUUAAGGAUUUAUACCAAAAGUUAUACAUGAAAAAGGAUUUAUUAGUAAUAAAAGGAUAUUACCCUUCAAUGAAAUUGAUAAACAAUGUGCACACAU
Molecule: ribosomal RNA, 360 nt
Filed under: Wagneriana cobella
Lineage: Eukaryota; Metazoa; Arthropoda; Arachnida; Araneae; Araneidae
Description: partial small subunit ribosomal RNA
Source: RNAcentral